CUGGGGUGCUAAAGUCCUCCAAGAGAAUCUGCUGGGUUUGAUUCACUGGCAGGGGCAAUCAGUGCCCAUUAGUGCCCAGAUCAAUAACAUUC
This 92-nucleotide small nucleolar RNA is filed under the name Otolemur garnettii (small-eared galago). Its description in RNAcentral is "Small nucleolar RNA SNORA3/SNORA45 family (ENSOGAG00000023456.1)". It matches the Rfam family "Small nucleolar RNA SNORA3/SNORA45 family", at positions 38 to 131 of the family's 131-position model. Rfam says of the family: The members of this family belong to the H/ACA class of snoRNAs which are thought to guide the sites of modification of uridines to pseudouridines. This family includes mouse snoMBI-28 and human homologues ACA3 (SNORA3) and ACA3-2 (SNORA45). The record is from RNAcentral. Lineage: Eukaryota; Metazoa; Chordata; Mammalia; Primates; Galagidae.